GUUACACCUUCUCUGGUCAGUCUCACAGCUGCGCGGUGGCAGACAGGACUUGUUCCACAGUGGUAACUGGGAUAGAGCUGAUGUGGCCCCAACCCCACCUCCCUUCCCGCCCUGCCAUGUCGGAAGAAACCCGACGAGCAAAUUGGCAGCAGCAAAGAAAAAGUUGAGAGACUAUCAGUGGAGGAACAGCCCUGGUGUUCCUACAGGAGUGAAAAAGAAAAUUAAAAAUUGCAGUAACCCCGAGACAACCACUUCUGGUGGUUGCCACUCACCUGGAGAUGUAAUGGAGGCAUGUAGACAAAUACAACUGGAGAGAGAUACAUUUGCUGAGAUUCUUAAAGGAGAGAGAGCCACAUGGCAGCAGAGGAUGAAUCAGAUGUCGGAGCAGAUGCACACACUGAGGGAGGAGAAGGAGUGUAUUAUGAAUCGGUUACAGGAGCUGGAGACAAGCUUGGUGGAAUUGAGAAAACAGAUGACUGAACUCCCAGCCCUGGCACCCCCAGCAAGGCCCUCCGAGGUGGAGCAGCAGCUACAAGAGGAGGCUGAGCACCUGAGGGAGGAGCUGGAGAGUCUGGCAGGACAGCUCCAAGCCCAGGAGCACCUGGAAGCUGCCAGCCAGAGAACCAGCAGCUACAGGCCCAGCUGAGCCUCAUGGCUCUCCCUGAGGAAGGUACGGGAGAUCACUCAGAGGAAGAGGAGGGAGCCCAGGAGGAAGGGGGGACUGUUAGCAGAUAGGAGUGAGGAGUUUAGAACAGCUGGUCACUAUGCCGACCGGGUUUCUGCGUUAAGUUCGGCAUCAAAACGGUGACCUGGGAGUAGAGGGGCCACCAGGUUGCCUAAGGAUGGGUGAACUGGCCCAAGUCAGAAAUGAAGCAGGUCAGAACUCCCCUGCCGGGCAGUAGUGGAACUGAGCUUGGGCAACAUAGUGCGACUUUGGUUCUCAAAAAAAAAAUAAAAAUAAAUUACAGCUGCUCAUUCCCCUCUGGAGAGGGACUGGCCCAGGGUUAUACAGUGACGGUUGAGGCAGAGGUGGGCCCACCCUACUUCCCUUGUUGGGUCGCGUGAGGACCCCUCUAGCUCUGUGCCCUAGGAGGUAGACUGGACGGAGGGUGGGGGAGAAGGAGGGGCGGGGGGGGGAGGAGGAGGAGGAUGAGGAUGAGGAGGAGAAGGAGAAGGAGAAGAAGAAGAAGAAGAAGGAGGAGAAGGAGAAGGAGGAGGAGGCGUCUCGGCCCAUGAAGAGCAUCCUGCAGGACCUGGAAAGCCAGGAGUCCAUGGUGGCAUUUUUAACAUCAGCUGUAGCCAGUGCAGAUGGGGAGCAGGCUCGGCUCCGUGGGCAGCUGAAGGAGCAAAGGCUGCGCUGCCGGUGCCUGGCUCACCUGCUGGCCUGGGCCCAGAAGCAGCCAGAGGCAGCAGCCCCAGCCCCAGGGACUGGGAUGGAUUCUGUGUGUGGGGGGACCCACCGGGCCCUGCAGGGUGCCAUGGAGAAACUGCAGAGCUGCUUUAUGCAGCUGAUGCAGGAAAAGGUGGACCUGAAAGAGCGGGUGGAGGAGCUGGAACAUCGCUGCAUCCAGCUCUCUGGAGAGACAGACACCAUCGGAGUCUACACUGCCCUCUCUCAGCCAGGGGGCAGCGCUGAAGGAGCAGCACCGAGAGGAGGAGGAGCACAUCCACAGGCUAGCCCAGGACAAGGAGGAGAUGAAGAUCUUUGCCAGGUGACCCUCACCAGCAGCGUGGAGCCUGCACAAGGAGAGGCCGGGGAGGGUUCUCCCCUCGACAACCCCAGUGCACAGCAGAUCAUGCAGCUGUUUGGUGAGAUGCAGAACCCUCAGGAGCGCCCAGGCUUGGGCAGCAUCCCCUGCAUUCUGUUUUCCCACCAGGCUGACAAAAACCACCAGGUGAAGAUCACCCUCAUCUGAAAGCCAGUUGCCUUCAGCAAAGCCAGGAGAAGGGGGGUGGGAGGCUCCGCCCCCCCAUGUCCCUCCCACCCCUUUGCAGUCACCCCUUUACCCUUAAAGUAAAUGGAUUUAGCCAUA
RNA transcript from Homo sapiens (human), 2033 nucleotides. It is a transcript of the gene named GOLGA2 pseudogene 9, with no coding region annotated. NCBI's taxonomy places the organism in Eukaryota, Metazoa, Chordata, Mammalia, Primates, Hominidae. The transcript is spliced from 10 exons. The record is from RefSeq and is marked validated.